This 4512-nucleotide long non-coding RNA is filed under the name Homo sapiens (human). Its description in RNAcentral is "HSALNT0012582". Lineage: Eukaryota; Metazoa; Chordata; Mammalia; Primates; Hominidae. The record is from RNAcentral.
GGGUAUUAGGCCUUGACUGGGCUUUCCUCAUUUUCAGCAGAGCCCAGCUGGCUUUGGCCCGGUUUGGAGAUUCUCCAACCAAGUCCCACCCUCAGAGAGGUUGCCAUACUCUCGCCAUUAGAGAAGCCAGCGGGGAGUUACAGCCACAGCAGCUUUUGCAGAAUCCCUAGGAGACCUACAGGGACAAAGCAGAGUAAAGGAAAAGGUCCUGGAGAGGUGUUCCUUGUUCUGAAGAGGAGAAACAGUAAAAAAUUUGCCAAGGACCCAAGAUAGAAGACUGUGGGCCCAGAUCCUAAUGUAAAAGAAGCCUGCCUCAACUUAAUUUUCCUGGACAGCAAGAGCUAUGAAAAUGAACUGGGUGAAUAUUGGUGUUUUCAGCUUGAGGUUCCAAUGAAUUAGGACAAUCAGAAGGAAGAGUUUAAUUUUGGGGUCUAGCAUGAGACCAUUCAGUUCAAACUUUCAUUUCACAGUUAGGAAACUAGACCCAGAGAGGCACAGUGCUUCGGCUUGAUGCUAAUAGACUGAUUUUGGAAGGCAGUUGAGCUGGAAGACACAGAUCUGGGGGCUGUCAGCCAAGGGCUGAGAAGGAUGUGAAUUAAGAAGGUGGGAAGGGAAUUGAUGGUUAAGGCCUGAGUCUUGAGAGAAACCCAUGGCCAGGAGCAGAGGAGUUAAGAUUCAUUCAGAAAUGCUCCUACAGACGUGGGAGAACAAGGAUUGUUCAGUAUAAUGGAAGCCAAAGGAGAGGGUUUUGAGGAGCAAAAGACUAGCCAACAGUAGCAAUUGUGUCAAGGUGAUCAAGGAAUAAGAUGUAAACAAUUGUUGGAUUUAUAAUAUGAUUUUAAAAGUGCAGUUUCAGUAAAGUGGUAAGAAUGGGAGGACAAUCAAAUGGCACGUGGUGUGUGUGUGUGUGUGUGGAGGUUGUGGUGUGUGUGGGGGGGGAUGUAUGUGUGGAGAGUGUGGCAUGAGAUGCAUGUGCAUAUGUAUGUUUAGGAUGAGGUGUGUGUGGAGAGUGAGAUGUGUGUGUGUAGGAUAUGAGGUGUGUGAGCUGUGUGUGUGUGUGUGUGAUGUGUGUGUAGGGUGCAGUGUUGUGGUAUAUGUGUAUGUGUACAUGGUGUGGGGGGUGCAGGGUGUGUGUGUAUGUAGGAUGCGGUGUGUGUGGAGAGUGAGAUGUGUGUGUAGAGUGCAAUGUGUAUGGGGUGUUUGUAGGGUGCGCUGUACAUGUGGGCAGUGUGUGUGUAUUCUGACUGAAUGCUGAGCACUGGUGCUUGAGCUCUCCUGCCCUGCCUGGGAGGUGGUGUGUCUGAGGUGAGGGGAAGGCUGACCCAGCUGAUGGGUCCUGUGAGGCAGAGGUUGAGGAGGGAGCCAGAGAUGAGAACCAACAACAUGCUCCAGGAAGAGGGACAGGCGCAGAAGCAAGGGGACACCAGACUGGAACAGAUGGACUCAUGCAGUUGUUCCUUGAUGGCCUGUUCACAUAUAGCAUUUGCCAUGUCCCACAAAUGCAGAAUUCUGGUGGAACCACAGUGCGUGGAAGUUCCAGGAGACUGAAAGUGGUGCAAGGUUAAGUGUGUUACAUAUGUAAUUGAGUAAUCAGGGGUGCUGACAGCCCGACAGGCCAUGCCUUCCAUUCGAACCAGAGCUUGCUUCACAUAGAAAGAAAGCAAUGGCUUUCUAAGGAAUGUGGACAAGUGAGGAACCCUAUCAUAUCCUUCUUACUCAUUUCUUCCCUGUGUUAACCAACCACUUACGCUGAAAAUGAUGACACAGAAGAAAGGGAAAGACAGGACAACCCAUAGUUCCUUUUCCUUUCAGCCCUUCCUUACUCAUCAGUAAGCUGAAGGUCAAGAGUAUUGAUGGAACAUGCACGUUAUCAAGAAGUAAAAUUAAAACAGUUGAGUUAGUUUUGUGCAGUGUUCCCGCUGCUCUGGUAAGGACAAAAUAUAUACGCAAGUAAGAGCUAGGAAAUAUGAACUGUGUAAUUUCAAUGAUUCCACGUAUGAGUCAAAUGCACUUAUUUUCAUUUACAACUAACACUACACAACAUAAAGAAUAGUAAAAUUCAUACUAAUAAUUAAAUUUUAAAUUUUUCUUUACUUAAAAUGACAUUAAAUAUCAAAUUAAAAACAUCAUGACUAGUAAAAAAAAAUUGUGGAAGAAAGAAAAAGUUUUAUGCUUUGGUGACCCUUAAUGGCCUUAUUUCCCUCUGGUUUUUGAACAAGGAGCUCGAUAUUUUCAUUUUGUACUGGGCCCUGAAAAUUAUGUUACUGGCCCUGGGUGAGAUGGUUGUUUAUAUUUGUAUGACCAGGGUCAAAAAACAGUCUUGGAACCACAGGAGCAGGGAAGAUUCACCAAUAAAUUGAUGAACACAAGUCUUCAUCAUUACCCACACACACUCACUGGCCCCUCAACAUUGGUAACAAUGGCCAUGGGUGGAGAGUUAAGAAGAUGAUAACUCCCAGAAAACUAUGCUUUUUCUGCUGAUAACUCUUCAACAUCUCACCACACCCAAUAUCUCUGCUUUUGUUAACAAACCAUGAACUGCUUCAAGUUGUCAUACCCUUUCUCACUGUCUUUCUUCUGAUUGGAACGGCCUGGUGAGAGCAGGCUGGUGGGAACACACACCUUCCGAAAGGCCCUCACCACAGCAGAUCACUGCUGGCGUCCGAGCUACUUCCUGCUUGUCCUGUUGUGUCCUUCAUCAGUGACCGCACUCUUGGAGUGCUUGCCUCUGGCUCCUGUUUUCCACCCAUUUCUCAGCCUGGUAACUCCUGGUUUCCAGUCUUAGUGGGCCCACUGCUCUGCUCCCACCUCCUGUGAUAGGGUCGGGAGAGCCGCCAACCCCACUUGACUCCUGGACCCCAUCCAGGCUGUGGUAUGUGCCAGCACCAUCUUCCCAAAGGAUGCUGCCCCUCCCUGAGGCUCAUGGUAUAGCUCUUCUCCCAUAUUCAUACCCCCGUCUUGAAGCCUGGCCCACAUAGGGUUUCCAGAAAGCCUUCCCCGAACCACUAAUAGAAACCCUACUAUACUCACACCUUCCUUAAGAGAUACUUCACAAACCCAGUUUUGUGCGGUGCAAAGGGGAUGAAAUCAGAAAUAACAUAGGUUUAAAUCCUGGUUAACUAACUGAUUUUUGAGUCUGUCAAUAAACCUCUCUGUGCCUCAAUUUCCCCAUCUACAAAAACAGGAUUGUGAUACUUACCUCAUAGGAUCAUUGUGAGGAUUAUGAGAAAUAGCACAGGCAAAGCACCUAGGUGCUGCCUGGCAUGUCCCAGCACUCAGUAAAAGCUCCCCCAACACUUUUCUCCCCCUGCUGGGGUUGGGCACCAUGCCUUAUUCAUGCCUUUAUUCCUUGCAGCACCUAGAGUAACAUCUUGUGGCUGGCAGAUGAUCAAUGCCUGUGGAUUGAAUUAAAUUAAAACUUUCCUUGUGUUACACUGUUCUCUCCAUGUCCCCAGUUGUAAUAUCCUCUUAAAAGUAUCAUCGCUUGGCUGGGCACGGUGGCUCAUGCCUGUAAUCCCAGCACUUUGGGAGGCUGAGGCGGGUGGAUUACAAGGUCAGGAGAUCGAGACCAUCCUGGCUAACACGGUGAAACCCCGUCUGUACUAAAAAUACAAAAAAAAAAAAAAAAAUUAGCUGGGCGUGGUGGUGGGCGCCUGUAGUCCCAGCUACUCGGGAGGCUGAGGCAGAAGAAUGGCAUGAACCCGGGAGGGGGAGCUUGCAGUGAGCCGAGAUCGCGCCACUGCACUCCAGCAUGGGCAACAGAGUGAGACUCCGUGUCAAAAACAAACAAAAAAAAGUAUCAUUGCUCAGCUUAUAAGUUCUACUUCAUGUUACUGCAGAUUGUGACCCCCAAAUGAAGUAACUUUUGCUGUUCCUUCUUAUUAAAAAUAAUACAUGCUCAAUAUAUAAAUAAAAAUACAAGCAAAAAGAGUAUUAAAAAGUCUGAUAAUUCUACCCACACAGACAUAGCUAGUAUUAACAUCUCUCCAUUAGCUUUUCAAUGCAAUGCAGCUAUUAUAUCUAUGUGUGUGCAUGUAUACAUGUAUGUAUAAUAUUUUGCUGAGGGAGGAAGGUGGAAAUAGCAUAUUAAGAGAGGGAUGUGGGCUUUAGAAUAGAAAAAAUUCAGCAAGCCUGUGCUCUGUGAGUGUGAAAAUAACCACUGGUGUCUACUUAGAUUCAGUAGGGUGGGAGUCUUGCUGGAAAUGCUUUUUAAAUUUCUAGUGCCAUAAUCUUUCUUUCAUCCAAAGAGGAAAAAAUGAGUCUUUACGUAUUUUUUAAUGUAGCGAUAAUUAUCAUUCAUCAGCAUACUGCACACUCUUUAUUUGGGUGUUUAUUAAGGAUCUAUUUCAUGCCAGACGCUGGAGUUGGCACUAAAAACAAGGAUACGGUUACUGCUCUCAGUGAGUUUUCAGUCUGGUGGGGGACACACAUGAGAAAUAGCACAGGCAAAGCCCCUGGGUGCUGCCUGGCAUGUCCCAGCACUCAAUAAAAGCUCCCCCCAACACUUUUCUC